AUGCAUACAACAUUAUCAGUUGGGGAUUCUGCUGGUUCAUCUGCUCCUUGUUAUUUGUCCCAGGACUCAUGCGCUUGGGCUGAUGCUGCUAUCUUGGUGACUGCUCUUGUUCAUCAUCUCAGAGGCUUGUGGAUCAGCUCCUUGUCUUGUGAUGGAAACACAAAAGGCAUUAUGCAUGAGAUGACUAUAAUUCCAUCAUCAGUUCCGAAGGACUCUAUGGAGCUGAGCUCCCAGCGCUGUCAGCGUGAGGGGUUUCUGGAUCAGGCCGUUUAUCCCCGAGUGGCGGCACAUCUCACGGAUGCUGUCGUCGACGGUCACGGCGAGAGCAGCAACUAUGAGGAGCCAGCGCCUGUUCUUGAGCCCCCUGAUCUGGAGUGCCACCUCAAAUGCAUCCAUGUCAAGGUCCAGGAGGAGGAGCUGGAAGGAGGAGCCGGCGCUCCCCAGCAAGGCCAGGCAAUGGGCGCCUGA
This 468-nucleotide ribosomal RNA is filed under the name Triticum aestivum (bread wheat). Its description in RNAcentral is "partial small subunit ribosomal RNA". Lineage: Eukaryota; Viridiplantae; Streptophyta; Magnoliopsida; Poales; Poaceae. The record is from RNAcentral.